This 481-nucleotide long non-coding RNA is filed under the name Salmo trutta (river trout). RNAcentral's name for it is "lncRNA (ENSSTUG00000005050.1)". Lineage: Eukaryota; Metazoa; Chordata; Actinopteri; Salmoniformes; Salmonidae. The record is from RNAcentral.
GCUGGUUCUGUGAGCAGAUGUGAGAAGAGUUGCUCAUUUUCCCAAAACUUUACGAAGGACUCCACAAGCCUGGGCUUCAUGUUGGAAUCUAGCGCCUUUCUGUUAAUAACCACUCCUUUUCACUGCCUGGAAAGAUGUACGAGCGACACAAGCGGAGGUAUAGUCUGCGUGGAAAGGGGGAGAGAACAGUGGAUGUCGUUUUGAUAAAGAUCCACAAAGAGAAGGAGUCAUUUUACCCUGUCCAGCCCUGCACAGAUCCCACACUACAGGUGAAGACCACCAUCCCAGAAUGCACAGAAUUCCCAGUAUCCCCAUGCUCAGAGAGUGUUGGAGGAUCUGUGUCGACCACUGGUGCCCUGCGGGACUCAGUCAGUGAUUUGGACAGUCUGGGAGAGGACGGUGUCUUCAGAAAGGUGAGAUCAGCACACUGGAAAGAGACAUUCCCUUUAUAGUCACAACACUGUCAAAGAAGAAGAGUAAG